CCGGUAAACGGCGGCCGUAACUAUAACGGUCCUAAGGUAGCGAAAUUCCUUGUCGGGUAAGUUCCGACCUGCACGAAUGGCGUAAUGAUGGCCAGGCUGUCUCCACCCGAGACUCAGUGAAAUUGAACUCGCUGUGAAGAUGCAGUGUACCCGCGGCAAGACGGAAAGACCCCGUGAACCUUUACUAUAGCUUGACACUGAACAUUGAGCCUUGAUGUGUAGGAUAGGUGGGAGGCUUUGAAGUGUGGACGCCAGUCUGCAUGGAGCCGACCUUGAAAUACCACCCUUUAAUGUUUGAUGUUCUAACGUUGACCCGUAAUCCGGGUUGCGGACAGUGUCUGGUGGGUAGUUUGACUGGGGCGGUCUCCUCCUAAAGAGUAACGGAGGAGCACGAAGGUUGGCUAAUCCUGGUCGGACAUCAGGAGGUUAGUGCAAUGGCAUAAGCCAGCUUGACUGCGAGCGUGACGGCGCGAGCAGGUGCGAAAGCAGGUCAUAGUGAUCCGGUGGUUCUGAAUGGAAGGGCCAUCGCUCAACGGAUAAAAGGUACUCCGGGGAUAACAGGCUGAUACCGCCCAAGAGUUCAUAUCGACGGCGGUGUUUGGCACCUCGAUGUCGGCUCAUCACAUCCUGGGGCUGAAGUAGGUCCCAAGGGUAUGGCUGUUCGCCAUUUAAAGUGGUACGCGAGCUGGGUUUAGAACGUCGUGAGACAGUUCGGUCCCUAUCUGCCGUGGGCGCUGGAGAACUGAGGGGGGCUGCUCCUAGUACGAGAGGACCGGAGUGGACGCAUCACUGGUGUUCGGGUUGUCAUGCCAAUG
RNAcentral lists this ribosomal RNA (815 nucleotides) under Escherichia coli. Its description in RNAcentral is "partial 23S ribosomal RNA". It matches the Rfam family "Bacterial large subunit ribosomal RNA", at positions 1920 to 2734 of the family's 2925-position model. The record is from RNAcentral. Lineage: Bacteria; Pseudomonadati; Pseudomonadota; Gammaproteobacteria; Enterobacterales; Enterobacteriaceae.